RNAcentral lists this ribosomal RNA (405 nucleotides) under uncultured bacterium. RNAcentral describes it as "partial 16S ribosomal RNA". It matches the Rfam family "Bacterial small subunit ribosomal RNA", at positions 29 to 526 of the family's 1533-position model. The record is from RNAcentral.
AUUGAACGCUGGCGGCAGGCUUAACACAUGCAAGUCGAACGAGUGGCGGACGGGUGAGUCAUGCUUGGGAAUCUGGCUUAUGGAGGGGGAUAACGACGGGAAACUGUCGCUAAUACCGCGUACCAUAGGAUGAGCCCAAGUGGGAUUAGGUAGUUGGUGGGGUAAUGGCCUACCAAGCCGACGAUGUUUAGCUGGUAUGAGAGGAUGACCAGCCAGACGGAGACUGGGACACGGCGAAGGCGACUACGGUAGGCAGGAGUGGGGAAAAUUGCGCAACUGGACGAACCUGACGGAUCCAUGCGGCGUGAAUGAAGAAGGCCUUCGGAUUGGAAAGUUCUUUCGGUGACGAGGCGGGCAUCGCAGAAGAAGGACCGGCGAACUCCGUGCCAGCAGCCGCGGUAAUAC